AAUCAACGCUGGCGGCGUGCCUCAGACAUGCAAGUCGAACGCGAAAGUUCCCUUCGGGGAAUGAUUAGAGUGGCGUCCGGGUGAGUAACACGUGGGUAAUCUACCUUCGGGUGGGGAAUAACAGUCGGAAACGACUGCUAAUACCGCAUAAUGCAGCGGCACCUAAUGGUGACAGUUGUUAAAGCGGGGGAUCGCAAGACCUCGCGCCUGAAGAGGAGCCCGCGGCGGAUUAGCAGUUGGUAGGGUAACGGCCUACCAAGGCUUCGAUCCGUAGCCGGCCUGAGAGGGCGGUCGGCCACACUGGCACUGACAUACGGGCCAGACUCCUACGGGAGGCAGCAGUCGGGAAUUUUGGGCAAUGGGCGAAAGCCUGACCCAGCAACGCCGCGUGAAGGAU
Molecule: ribosomal RNA, 397 nt
Filed under: uncultured bacterium
Lineage: Bacteria
Description: bacterial SSU rRNA
Rfam family: Bacterial small subunit ribosomal RNA
Source: RNAcentral